This 460-nucleotide ribosomal RNA is filed under the name uncultured bacterium. Its description in RNAcentral is "partial 16S ribosomal RNA". It matches the Rfam family "Bacterial small subunit ribosomal RNA", at positions 338 to 795 of the family's 1533-position model. The record is from RNAcentral.
CCUACGGGUGGCAGCAGUGAGGAAUAUUGGUCAAUGGACGAGAGUCUGAACCAGCCAAGUAGCGUGAAGGAUGACUGCCCUAUGGGUUGUAAACUUCUUUUAUAUGGGAAUAAAACGUUCCACGUGUGGGAUUUUGUAUGUACCAUAUGAAUAAGGAUCGGCUAACUCCGUGCCAGCAGCCGCGGUAAUAAGGAGGAUCCGAGCGUUAUCCGGAGUUAUUGGGUUUAAAGGGAGCGUAGGUGGAUUGUUAAGUCAGUUGUGAAAGUUUGCGGCUCAACCGUAAAAUUGCAGUUGAAACUGGCAGUCUUGAGUACAGUAGAGGUGGGCGGAAUGCGUGGUGUAGCGGUGAAAUGCUUAGAUAUCACGAAGAACUCCGAUUGCGAAGGCAGUUCACUGGACUGCAACUGACACUGAGGCUCGAAAGUGUGGGUAUCAAACAGGAUUAGAUACCCCAGUAGUC